This 558-nucleotide ribosomal RNA is filed under the name Halomonas sp. D30. RNAcentral describes it as "bacterial SSU rRNA". The stretch from base 1 to 342 matches the Rfam family "Bacterial small subunit ribosomal RNA", at positions 45 to 400 of the family's 1533-position model. The record is from RNAcentral. Lineage: Bacteria; Pseudomonadati; Pseudomonadota; Gammaproteobacteria; Oceanospirillales; Halomonadaceae.
GGUAGACGCAUGCAAUGCUCGGAGUCAGUACGAGAUCCAGCUUGCUGAUGCUGACUACGCGCUGGACCGGUGAGUCAUGCAUAGGAAUCUGCCGAUAGUGGGGGAUAACCUGGGGAACCCAGGCUAAUACCGCAUACGUCCUACGGGAGAAGGGGGCUCCGGCUCCCGCUAUGGGAUGAGCCUAUGUCGGAUAGCUAGUUGGUGAGGUAACAGCUCACCAGCGCACGAUCCGUAGCUGGUCUGAGAGGAUGAUCAGCCACAUCGGACUGAGACACGCCCGAACUCCUACGGGAGCAGCAGUGGGGAUAUUGGACAUGGGCGCACGUGAUCCAGCCAUGCCGCUGUGUGAGAAGCCCUCGGCUGGUAAAGCCACCUUCCGGCAGGAGAACGCUAGCGCGUAAUACCGCUAGGAAGACAUCCACUCGAGAAGAGAGACAGCUAAUCAUGGCAACAGCGCAGGAUAAACGAGAGUGCGCAGCGUAAUCGGAUACAAUGGGUAAGAGCACCUAGUGUUGAAAGACCGUGUGAAGCCCGGUCACACUGGGAGGGUCCGAAUGU